UGGCUCAGAGUGAACGCUGGCGGCAGGCCUAACACAUGCAAGUCGAACGGCAGCACGAGAGAGCUUGCUCUCUUGGUGGCGAGUGGCGGACGGGUGAGGAAUACGUCGGAAUCUGCCUUUUUGUGGGGGAUAACGUAGGGAAACUUACGCUAAUACCGCAUACGACCUACGGGUGAAAGCGGAGGACCUUCGGGCUUCGCGCAGAAAGAUGAGCCGACGUCGGAUUAGCUAGUUGGAGGGGUAAUGGCCCACCAAGGCGACGAUCCGUAGCUGGUCUGAGAGGAUGAUCAGCCACACUGGGACUGAGACACGGCCCAGACUCCUACGGGAGGCAGCAGUGGGGAAUAUUGGACAAUGGGCGCAAGCCUGAUCCAGCCAUGCCGCGUGUGUGAAGAAGGCCUUCGGGUUGUAAAGCACUUUUGUACGGGAAGAAAAGCAAUCGGUUAAUACCCGGUUGUCAUGACGGUACCGUAAGAAUAAGCACCGGCUAACUUCGUGCCAGCA
This 504-nucleotide ribosomal RNA is filed under the name Lysobacter sp. l40 MT-2006. RNAcentral describes it as "bacterial SSU rRNA". It matches the Rfam family "Bacterial small subunit ribosomal RNA", at positions 20 to 513 of the family's 1533-position model. The record is from RNAcentral. Lineage: Bacteria; Pseudomonadati; Pseudomonadota; Gammaproteobacteria; Lysobacterales; Lysobacteraceae.